Molecule: long non-coding RNA, 528 nt
Filed under: Astyanax mexicanus (Mexican tetra)
Lineage: Eukaryota; Metazoa; Chordata; Actinopteri; Characiformes; Acestrorhamphidae
Description: lncRNA (ENSAMXG00005017454.1)
Source: RNAcentral
UUUGAGAAAGCAUGUUAUUGUACUUACUGCAUGCUUACAGCACUUGUUGGCUUCAUUCAAGUGCUCUGUGCUCUCUUAACACAGGAGAAGCCCAGGGAGGUGACUGAAAUGGCUACUAACACAGUUCAUGAGAGAGGAAGCAGCCUAAGAAUGAGAGGAAGAAAUAUAUCACCCCAUCUCUGUGGCUACCCCAGCCUUUCCUCUGGGCAUCUAAAGAGUGACAGUCAGCCUGGGCAUUGAAAGGGGUAGUGUGCCAGCCAUCGCAGUCAAGUGAAAGGAGCCCUUUCAUUCAGGCUAGUGGGACAGGAAUGACCCUUUCGUAAAUGUGGGCAGGAGAGGGGCCGCCUGCCAGCUUCACCAGGCGGCUACCGAGCUUCAUCAGUCAGCCUGUUAAAGCCUGGGCCAGUUACUGUCACCAGCAGACUGAGGGAUAACGGCCAGCGUUGCUAAGUUCGCUAGGUUAGUGGAGGCACACUGGGUCAGGGGGGUUCUCCUCACAGAUCAGCCCUUUGUAACAGAUGGAAUUGG